RNAcentral lists this ribosomal RNA (577 nucleotides) under uncultured bacterium. RNAcentral describes it as "bacterial SSU rRNA". It matches the Rfam family "Bacterial small subunit ribosomal RNA", at positions 214 to 783 of the family's 1533-position model. The record is from RNAcentral.
CGCGCUAUUGGAUGAGCCUACGUCGGAUUAGCUAGUUGGUGAGGUAAAGGCUCACCAAGGCGACGAUCCGUAGCUGGUUUGAGAGAACGACCAGCCACACUGGGACUGAGACACGGUCCAGACUCCUACGGGAGGCAGCAGUGGGGAAUAUUGCACAAUGGGGGAAACCCUGAUGCAGCCAUGCCGCGUGUGUGAAGAAGGCCUUCGGGUUGUAAAGCACUUUCAGCGAGGAGGAAAGGUUGAUGCCUAAUACGUAUCAACUGUGACGUUACUCGCAGAAGAAGCACCGGCUAACUCCGUGCCAGCAGCCGCGGUAAUACGGAGGGUGCAAGCGUUAUCCGGAAUUACUGGGCGUAAAGCGCACGCAGGCGGUUGGAUAAGUUAGAUGUGAAAGCCCCGGGCUCAACCUGGGAAUUGCAUUUAAAACUGUCCAGCUAGAGUCUUGUAGAGGGGGGUAGAAUUCCAGGUGUAGCGGUGAAAUGCGUAGAGAUCUGGAGGAAUACCGGUGGCGAAGGCGGCCCCCUGGACAAAGACUGACGCUCAGGUGCGAAAGCGUGGGGAGCAAACAGGAUUAGAU